AUUGCCUUAGUACGGCGAGUGAAGCGGCAAAAGCUCAAAUUUGAAAUCGGCCACCAGGUCGAGUUGUAAUUUGUAGAUUGUAUCUUGAGAGCGGAUUAAAGUCUGUUGGAACACAGCGCCUUAGAGGGUGACAGCCCCGUAAAAUCUAUUCUCAUUGUAAGAUACUUUCGAAGAGUCGAGUUGUUUGGGAAUGCAGCUCUAAGUGGGAGGUAAAUUCCUUCUAAAGCUAAAUAUUGACGAGAGACCGAUAGCGAACAAGUACUGUGAAGGAAAGAUGAAAAGCACUUUGAAAAGAGAGUGAAAAAGUACGUGAAAUUGUUAAAAGGGAAGGGUAUUGAAUCAGACUUGGUGCUGUUGUUCAACUGUGUUUCGGCAUAGUGUACUCAGCAGUACUAGGCCAAGGUGGGGUGUUUGGGAGUGAAAAAGAAGUAGGAACGUAACUCUUCGGAGUGUUAUAGCCUACUUUCAUAGCUCCUCAGGCGCCUCAGGACUGCGCUUCGGCAAGGACCUUGGCAUAAUGAUUCUAUACCGCCCGUCUUGAAACACGGACCAAGGAGUCUAACGUCUAUGCGAGUGUUUGGGGUGUAAAACCCGUACGCGUAAUGAAAGUGAACGUAGAUAGGAGCAGCAAUGCGCACUAUCGACCGAUCCUGAAGUUUUCAGAUGGAUUUGAGUAAGAGCAUAGCUGUUGGGACCCGAAAGAUGGUGAACUAUGCCUGAAUAGGGUGAAGCCAGAGGAAACUCUGGUGGAGGCUCGUAGCGGUUCUGACGUGCAAUCGAUCGUCGAAUUUGGGUAUAGGGGCGAAAGACUAAUCGAACCAUCUAGUAGCUGGUUCGUGCGGAAGUUUCCCUCAGGAUAGCAGAAGCUCGUAUCAGUUUUAUGAAGGUAAAGCGAAUGAUUAGAGGUACUGGGGUCUAUGUGACCUUAACC
RNAcentral lists this ribosomal RNA (931 nucleotides) under Geotrichum candidum. Its description in RNAcentral is "partial large subunit ribosomal RNA". It matches the Rfam family "Eukaryotic large subunit ribosomal RNA", at positions 74 to 1052 of the family's 3401-position model. The record is from RNAcentral. Lineage: Eukaryota; Fungi; Ascomycota; Dipodascomycetes; Dipodascales; Dipodascaceae.